RNAcentral lists this non-coding RNA (27 nucleotides) under Mus musculus (house mouse). Lineage: Eukaryota; Metazoa; Chordata; Mammalia; Rodentia; Muridae. The record is from RNAcentral.
UACACAUACAAGGGAUGUGAACGGGUC